UAAAUUUAAAAAAAAAAAGUGUGACUUAUUGCAAGAAACAUUAAGCUACACUUGUGAAUUUCAAGGAGGAUUGAUGUACAUAGUCUUGCCGCUAAUUUUACAAACAGACUAUUUCCGUAGCUCGGAUGUGUGACCUCCAGGUCACAAAUGGAAUAACUUUAUCGUUACACCAAAGCCAUCUCUAGGUCACAAAUGUAUGUGUUAUGAAUACUAGUAAGGAUAAUAAAGGGCUGUAAUUGUAUGGUGAAGAGAGUCGAAUAAGAUGUAGUUGAGAUGAGUUGACAGCUCUUAUAUUUGUUCCUUAGUAGAAGAGUCCUUAGUUAGUAAAAGAGAUGUUGUAUAAAUAACUGAAGAGUUGUAAC
This 362-nucleotide unclassified non-coding RNA is filed under the name Hevea brasiliensis (rubber tree). Lineage: Eukaryota; Viridiplantae; Streptophyta; Magnoliopsida; Malpighiales; Euphorbiaceae. The record is from RNAcentral.